This 69-nucleotide transfer RNA is filed under the name Marmota monax (woodchuck). RNAcentral's name for it is "tRNA.Ala". Lineage: Eukaryota; Metazoa; Chordata; Mammalia; Rodentia; Sciuridae. The record is from RNAcentral.
GGUUGUGGCUCAGUGGUAGAGCAAUCACCUAGCACAUGUGAGGUACUGGGUUUGAUCCUCAGCAGCACA